This 499-nucleotide ribosomal RNA is filed under the name uncultured bacterium. Its description in RNAcentral is "partial 16S ribosomal RNA". It matches the Rfam family "Bacterial small subunit ribosomal RNA", at positions 30 to 523 of the family's 1533-position model. The record is from RNAcentral.
AUUGAACGCUGGCGGAAUGCUUUACACAUGCAAGUCGAACGGCAGCACGGACUUCGGUCUGGUGGCGAGUGGCGAACGGGUGAGUAAUGUAUCGGAACGUGCCCAGUCGUGGGGGAUAACGUAGUGAAAAUUACGCUAAUACCGCAUCCGAUCUAUGGAUGAAAGCGGGGGAUCGCAAGACCUCGCGCGAUUGGAGCGGCCGAUAUCAGAUUAGGUAGUUGGUGGGGUAAAGGCCCACCAAGCCAACGAUCUGUAGCUGGUCUGAGAGGACGACCAGCCACACUGGAACUGAGACACGGUCCAGACUCCUACGGGAGGCAGCAGUGGGGAUUUUGGACAAUGGGCGAAAGCCUGAUCCAGCCAUUCCGCGUGCAGGAUGAAGGCCCUCGGGUUGUAAACUGCUUUUGUACAGAACGAAAAGGUUUCUACUAAUACUAGGAGCUCAUGACGGUACUGUAAGAAUAAGCACCGGCUAACUACGUGCCAGCAGCCGCAGUAA